UGGGGAAUUUUGCACAAUGGGGGAAACCCUGAUGCAGCGACGCCGCGUGAUUUAGAAGGCCUUCGGGUUGUAAAAAUCUUUUUUAUGGGAUGAAAAUGACAGUACCAUAAGAAUAAGGUCCGGCUAAAUACGUGCCAGCAGCCGCGGUAAUACGUAUGGACCGAGCGUUGUCCGGAAUCAUUGGGCGUAAAGGGUACGUAGGCGGCCCAGUAAGUUAGAAGUGAAAUAAUAUAGCUAAACUAUAUAAAGCUUUUAAAACUGCUAGGCUUGAGAAAUGGAAGGGAAAGUGGAAUUCCUAGUGUAGCGGUGAAAUGCGCAGAUAUUAGGAAGAAUACCGGUGGCGAAGGCGACUUUCUGGUCAUCAUCUGACGCUGAGGUACGAAAGCGUGGGUAGCAAACAGG
This 402-nucleotide ribosomal RNA is filed under the name Verrucomicrobiota bacterium. Its description in RNAcentral is "Verrucomicrobia bacterium partial 16S ribosomal RNA". It matches the Rfam family "Bacterial small subunit ribosomal RNA", at positions 355 to 776 of the family's 1533-position model. Lineage: Bacteria; Pseudomonadati; Verrucomicrobiota. The record is from RNAcentral.